RNAcentral lists this ribosomal RNA (253 nucleotides) under uncultured prokaryote. RNAcentral's name for it is "partial 16S ribosomal RNA". It matches the Rfam family "Bacterial small subunit ribosomal RNA", at positions 524 to 776 of the family's 1533-position model. The record is from RNAcentral.
UACGAAGGGUGCAAGCGUUACUCGGAAUUACUGGGCGUAAAGCGUGCGUAGGUGGUUUGUUAAGUCCGUUGUGAAAGCCCUGGGCUCAACCUGGGAAUGGCAGUGGAUACUGGCGAGCUAGAGUGCGGUAGAGGAGAGUGGAAUUCCCGGUGUAGCGGUGAAAUGCGUAGAUAUCAAGAGGAACACCUGCGGCGAAGGCGGGUUGCUGGGCCGACACUGACGCUGAAGCGCGAAAGCUAGGGGAGCGAACGGG